GAUGAACGCUGGCGGCGUGCCUAAUACAUGCAAGUCGAGCGAACAGACGAGGAGCUUGCUCCUCUGACGUUAGCGGCGGACGGGUGAGUAACACGUGUAUAACCUACCUAUAAUACUGGUAUCACUUCGGGAAACCGGAGCUAAUACCGGAUAAUAUAUUGAACCGCAUGGUUCAAUAGUGAAAGACGGCUUUGCUGUCACUUAUAGAUGGAUCCGCGCCGCAUUAGCUAGUUGGUACGGUAAUGGCUUACCAAGGCAACGAUGCGUAGCCGACCUGAGAGGGUGGUAGGCCACACGAGAACGUGACCAGGGACAAGACGACUGAGGGAGGCAGCAGUAGGGAAUCUUCCGCAAUGGGCGAAAGCCUGACGGAGCAACGCCGCGUGAGUGAUGAAGGUCUUCGGAGCGUAAAACUCUGUUAUGAGGGAAGAACAAAUGUGUAAGUAACUAUGCACGUCUUGACGGUACCUAAUCAGAAAGCCACGGCUAACUACGUG
This 497-nucleotide ribosomal RNA is filed under the name uncultured bacterium. RNAcentral's name for it is "partial 16S ribosomal RNA". It matches the Rfam family "Bacterial small subunit ribosomal RNA", at positions 28 to 507 of the family's 1533-position model. The record is from RNAcentral.